AAAGCUUUAAGUUAUCUUAAACUUGCAGCCUUCAAAGCUGCCAAAAGGAGUACAAUCUCUUAAGCUUUA
RNAcentral lists this transfer RNA (69 nucleotides) under Metapenaeopsis barbata. Its description in RNAcentral is "tRNA-Trp". Lineage: Eukaryota; Metazoa; Arthropoda; Malacostraca; Decapoda; Penaeidae. The record is from RNAcentral.